Molecule: non-coding RNA, 183 nt
Organism: Glossina palpalis gambiensis
Lineage: Eukaryota; Metazoa; Arthropoda; Insecta; Diptera; Glossinidae
Source: Rfam
AAUUUGUAAAAAUUAUAUUUUUCGUAAAAGUCCUUCCUGAGAGUGGAUCUAAAAAAUGUGAACAGUUCUCAUCCAAAUUUAAUAUGGUUUCGUUUUUUAGUAUGUAGGUGCCAUGGAUGGCGAAUUGUGCAUUCUGCUAUUAAGAACCAGAAGGAUCUUUUGAAGAUUUUCAUCCUCCAGCUC